CAGUGGAUACAUAAGUCCCUCAACACACUACAAAUAAAAUGACAUGGUCCUCCUCUGUAUUCCAGUCAAGGUCUACACUAUAGACCUUAAACAGACAGGAAGCAGCUUUAAAGUGUAUGGUAUGGCCACAGUCAGUGCUCACAGUCAAGUUCUCAUGCUGUCAUCCCUUCACGACAUGACUUGCAGAUGGUCUGCAGCAGAUGAGCCUGUUUUGGGUAACAUCUAAGUUGCUGAGGUCUGGAGUGUGCAGCUGUUCCUCUUCUUCAGUAGUCACCUGGAUUUUAUUUCCCUGCUCUCAAGACUCUGAUGAGUGAAAGAGUCUCGUAUCUUAACUACUUCAGAUGCACACAAGUGUCCAAAACACUUGGUGUACCAGUC
RNAcentral lists this long non-coding RNA (378 nucleotides) under Gallus gallus (chicken). RNAcentral's name for it is "long non-coding RNA NONGGAT007168". The record is from RNAcentral. Lineage: Eukaryota; Metazoa; Chordata; Aves; Galliformes; Phasianidae.